CUUCCCCACUCAUAGGAAAAUUAAAACACAAGAAAGCCGCUGGAUCAGCUACUGCCUUUCACUACAGUUACCAUUUUAGGUUAUGGAUCAAGGUUGAACUGUACAGAGGGAGUGCAGCCACAAGGCUCUGGCUGUGCCGGGCCUCCCACCAGCCCGGGCCCCAAAGCAGCCCCAGCUGUGCCUGGUCCUCCUCCAUCCUGUGCCCCAAGUCCUUGGCUGUGCCUGGGCCCCCUUUGGACUGAGCCCCGAGUAGGCCCCAACUGCGCUAGGUCCUCCUCCAGCCUGGGCCCCAAAGCAGCCCCAUCUGAGCCUGGUCCUCUUCGAUACCGGGCCCCAAAGCAGCCCAAAUCGUGCCAGGCCGUCGACCGGCCUGGGCCCCAAAGCAGCCCCAACUGUUGCUGGUCCUUCUCCAUCCUGUGCCCCAAGGCCCUGGCUGGGCUUGAGCCCCCUUUUGUCUGGGCCCAGACGAGGCCUCAACUGUGCCAGGCCGUCCUCCAUCCUGGGCCCCAAAGCAGCCCCAACUGUGCCAGGCCCCCUUCCAGCUCAGCCCCCAAAGCAGCCCCAACUGUGCCAGGUCCAUCUCCAUCCUGGGCCCCAAAGCAGCCCCAACUGUUGCUGGUCCUUCUCUUUCCUAAGCCCCAAGGCUAGGGCUGUGCCAGGGCCCCCUGUGGUCUGGGCCAAGAGGAGGCCCCAACUGUGCCAGGCACCCCUCCAGUCCAGGCCCCAAAGCAGCCCCAACUGUGCCAGGUCCAUCUCCAUCCUGGGCCCCAAAGCAGCCCCAACUGUUGCUGGUCCUCCUCUAUCCUAAGCCCCACGGCUAGGGUUGUGCCGGGGCCCCCUGUGCUCUGGGCCAAGAGGAGGCCCCAACUGUGCCAGGCACCCCUCCAGUCCAGGCCCCAAAGCAGCCCCACCUGUGCCAGGCCCAUCUCCAUCCUGGGCCCCAAAGCAGCCCCAACUGUUCCUGGUCCUCCUCCAUCCUAGGCCCCAAGGCCCGAACUGUUCUUGGGCCCCUUUUUGUCUGGGCCCAGAGGAGGCCUCAACUGUGCCAGGCCCCCCUCCAGCCUAGGCACCAAAGCAGCCCCAACUGUGCCUGGUCCUGUUUCAUCCUGGGCCCCAAGGCCCUGGCUGUGCCUGGGCCCUUUUUGGUCUGGGCCAAGAGCAGGCCUCAACUGUGCCUGGUCCUUCUCUAGCCCAGGCCCCAAAGCAGCCCCAACUGUGCUAUGCCCCCCUCCAGCUCAGGCACCAAAGCAGCCCCAACUGUGCCUGGUCCUCCUCCAUCCUGGGCCCCAACACAGCCCCAACUGAGCCUGGUUCUCCUCCAUCCUGGGCCCCGAGGCUCUACCUGUGCCUGGGUCCCCUUCCUUCUGGGCCCACACCAGGCCUCAACUGUGCCAGGCCCCCUCCAGCCUGGGCCCCGAGGCCACCACUGUGCUGCACCACCCUCCGGCACAGGCCCUGCCCCAAGCCCUGCCCCCUGUGGACAGCUCUGCUCUUUGCCUGCUUGUUUUUUUUCCUCUCUUCACUCUGCCAGCUUAACUGGAUGAGUUUCAAUGGGGCCGAGCGUCGGGUCCUGCAUUUUGGUCACAACAACCCCAGGCGUCCCCCCAGUCCUCCUUGGCGAGGAGUGGCUGGAAAGCUGCCUGAUCCCUGAAAGGGACCUUGGUGUGCUGAUGGACAGGUGGCUGAAGAUGAGCCAGCAGUGUGCCCAGGUGGCCAAGAAGGCCAAUGGCAUAACCACAAUUCCUGGCUCAGGAAUGGUGUGGUGAGCAGGACUAAGGAAGUCAUCCUGCCCCUGGACUCGGCACUGGCGAGGCCUCACCUCGAGUCCAGUGUUCAGUUUUGGGCACCUCAGCACAGAAGGGCUGUUGAGGUGCUGAAGCAGGUUGAAAGAAGGGCAACAAGGCUGGGGAAGGCCUUGGACAAUAUGCCCUCUGAGGAGUGAGUGAAGGAACUGGGGCUGUUUAGCGUGGGGAAAAGGAGGCUGAGGGGAGACCUGAUGGGCUCCCUAUUCCACCCAGGGAGCUGGUUCAGUCACCAUCCCUGAAUGUGUUGAAAACCAGGUGGUGCUCGGAGACAUGAUUGAGCAAGGGGUUGUUAGAGUUAGGCUGGUAUGGUUAGGUUGUGCUUAGACUGGAGGAUCUUUAAGGUCUUUGUGGCGACAAAAACUCCAACCAUCUCAAGCCUGGGGGAAAGGGGCUGACCCCAACGGUCACGCAACCCCCCCCCCUGGGGGGAGGGGCUCCCCUAACUGCCACUCUCCAGCUGUCAUGGCAGGUAAGGCAGCAGGCUUCCCCUGCCCCCAUGCUUCAGCUGGCCCCAGCGCUCCAGAUCCCACCCCUGUGCCCCAGAUCUCACCCCAGCAAACCAGAUCUCACCCCAGCAAACCAGAUCCCACCCCUGUAACCCCGAUAUCACCCCCGUAACCCAGAGCUCAUCCCAGAUCUCACCCCAGCGCCCCAGAUCCCACCCCUGUAACCCUGAUAUCACCCCCGUAACCCAGAGCUCACCCCAGUGUCCCAGAUCCCACCCCAGCGUCCCAGAACUCACCUCAGCGCCCCAGAUCCCAGCCCUGUAAGCCCGAUCUCAGCCCUGUGCCCCAGAUCCCACCCCAGCGCCCCAGAGCCCACCCCAGAGCCUGCUUUGGCCUUUCCCCACGGAGAGAAUCCCUCGAGGAGCGCUGACGGUGCCUCUGACACCCGACGCCAUUUUCCCUGAAGCGACUGUGCCGCCACCGGACCCCGCCUGGAUGCAGCCCACCAUCCGCGGACCGAUGCCGGUACCACCCCAAGCCCUCCCUGUCCCCACUGCCACCUACCUGGCGCCUCAGACCUCUGUCUGGCCUGGGGUACCAGGUGUCUGGGGACAGGCAGCGCAGCUCCCCCCUGGGGGGCUGCCCCCAACUGGGGCUCAACUGCCACCUGGGGGCCUGCCCCCAACUGUGGGGCUGCACUUACCGGUGCUGCAGCUGCUACCUGGGGGGCUGCACCCAGCUAUGGCUCCCCCCACUGCCCCUGCUCACUGCUGGGGACAUCCCCUGCUGGCAGGGACGCUGCUGCCCC
Molecule: long non-coding RNA, 3059 nt
Organism: Gallus gallus (chicken)
Lineage: Eukaryota; Metazoa; Chordata; Aves; Galliformes; Phasianidae
Source: Ensembl